UACGGGGGGGGCAAGCGUUGUUCGGAAUUACUGGGCGUAAAGGGCUCGUAGGCGGCCAACUAAGUCAGACGUGAAAUCCCUCGGCUUAACCGGGGAACUGCGUCUGAUACUGGAUGGCUUGAGAUUGGGAGAGGGAUGCGGAAUUCCAGGUGUAGCGGUGAAAUGCGUAGAUAUCUGGAGGAACACCGGUGGCGAAGGCGGCAUCCUGGACCAACACUGACGCUGAGGAGCGAAAGCCAGGGGGAGCAAACGGG
This 254-nucleotide ribosomal RNA is filed under the name uncultured bacterium. Its description in RNAcentral is "partial 16S ribosomal RNA". It matches the Rfam family "Bacterial small subunit ribosomal RNA", at positions 524 to 776 of the family's 1533-position model. The record is from RNAcentral.